RNAcentral lists this long non-coding RNA (967 nucleotides) under Eutrema salsugineum. RNAcentral describes it as "long non-coding RNA (ESAL_LNC001038)". Lineage: Eukaryota; Viridiplantae; Streptophyta; Magnoliopsida; Brassicales; Brassicaceae. The record is from RNAcentral.
AAAAUCUACUUCACAAUUUCUCUCUGGUUUUGCGAACAAUAAUUGUCUCGAUGUCUAAUAACCUUAAAGCUUCGCGAGUUGAGAAGAAUCGCCAUUUAGUUUUUUUUAUUCUUGCUUAUGAGCAUUCCGUUCGUUUGUCUUCUACUUACUCUACUAAUCAUGUGCUGCUAGUUGUGCUGCUAUAACCGAAGGAACCGGAAGGUUCACCCUUCUCCUACAGAAGAUGAAGGCGAUGUUUAGUCCAGGUUCUUCCUUAAAUAAAUUCUUAAUUAAAUGCAAUAUUAGAUACCGGAUAUAUUCUGGUUUGUAUAUAGAUUAGAUUAACACUGGUUUAAAGUCUCCUUCAGCUUAACCAUGUGGUUAUUAUAUAUAUAUAUAUAUAUAUAUAUAUAUAUAUAUAUAUAUAUACUUCGUACAUACUUUGAGUAAUUAAUGUGAAACACAGUUAUCCUUUCUCUCUCGUAAAGUUGAUAUGCAAACAUAUAUUUCUAUAUUUAAGUCUAUAUAUACAAGUAAAAUAUUCUGUAAAAAAACUCUAAAAGUGGACAUUACUUAUGUCUAUACCAAGAAGAAUUUAGAUUUGGACUUGACAUAGACAUCACUAAAGCACAAGAAGAAUUUUAUUGGAUCAUGUGCUUCAGUGAUGUCUAUGACAAGUUCAAAUCGAAAUUCUUCUUAGUAAACAACAUUAUUGUUAUUUUUUUAUUAUAUUUCUUACAUUUUUUCAUCGAUAAUUUUUGUAUGUUGGUAUUCUGUAGAACGAAGAGACGAAUAAACCAUGGAUUGAAGUUCUUGGAAAGACGCACAAGAAAUACUAAUAGUUGAUUUUAUUUCUGGUUUGAUAUUUUUAAUUAACUAUUUCUGUAUUUAUGAUUCUCUGGAAGUUGAAAUCUUUGGUUGUUUAGUACUACAUAUAUUAUUUUUAGCUUUAUUGUAAUAGUUUAAUAAUCAUCAAAAUGUAAUAGAU